AUUCAUCGCGACCCGAGGUUUCGUGCCUCGGGCCCGCGGAAGUGGGGGCCUGCCGCGGCGAUGCGGCUCCCCUCAAAUGCAUCGGUGGGGUCUCCGGACAUCCCGGGCGUUGUAUUGUCCUCGUCCGACCAUGGGUUCCGGCUCUGCCCCCGCCUCGACCGUUCCGUGCGAGCGGCGGUCAGUCUAAUGCUUUGAA
Molecule: unclassified non-coding RNA, 196 nt
Filed under: uncultured Subulicystidium
Lineage: Eukaryota; Fungi; Basidiomycota; Agaricomycetes; Corticiales; Corticiaceae
Description: sequence contains ITS2
Source: RNAcentral